Long non-coding RNA from Balaenoptera acutorostrata (minke whale), 661 nucleotides. RefSeq lists it as uncharacterized. The transcript is spliced from 3 exons. The record is from RefSeq and is a predicted model, not a curated record. NCBI's taxonomy places the organism in Eukaryota, Metazoa, Chordata, Mammalia, Artiodactyla, Balaenopteridae.
UAGAUAUUUGAAGACACAGGCCAGAAAAUACGAUAAAAGUUACAGCUCUGCUCAUCCACCAUGUUUCACAUUUUCCAUCUUCUGCCUCCACCAGUGAGUGCAAUCAUCAUUCUCAGACGUAUCCCCUCAACAUAUCCCCUCACCUGCAGCGCUUCUCACAGUGUGCACAGGGUUAGCUGAUGUGUGAACAGCCAGCAUCCUGGGCAUCAAGGGAUGCCACCUUCCAAGGCCCUCCUGGUGCUGUAAGCAGCUUGUUGGGUUGGUUUUAGAAACCUGUGGGCCAUGCUUUCCCCACUCACAUAGCUGUACAAGACAUCUCCUGGCACCAAGCCCCAGCCCCAAGCAUUUCACAAUCAGAAGAGUUCAACACCUGCAUAUUUUGAGAUUUCAUGGCAUACGACCUUUUACAUUUUGUUCACAUUCGUCCAUCCUCUGUUUACCAUGGUAGGGCCCCAGUUGUAUCCCUGACAGAACAUUGCUCUGAAGGCCUAGAGAAGCUUUCUGCUCUUUAGAGUUCAAUACAAUAUCGUACAGUUUUCUGGUCUUUUCAAAGUACUUCACACAUAGGUAUUAUUGCCUUUGACUCACAACAGCUCCAUGACAGGACCCACUUAAUACCAAGGCUCAAAAAAACUAAUUGGCCAAGGCCACACAUUGCAUA